UACAACCAUAUCAUGUUGAAACAUAGGUUCCUGUAUGAUCACAGAUGUUAAGCAACAUCGAGCCUGGUCAGUAUCUCCAUGGGUGACCACAUGGGAAUACCGGGAUG
Non-coding RNA from Acanthosepion pharaonis, 107 nucleotides. NCBI's taxonomy places the organism in Eukaryota, Metazoa, Mollusca, Cephalopoda, Sepiida, Sepiidae. The record is from the annotation of a GenBank genome assembly.